AAUGACCGAAUCACAUACGUACAAUAUAAUAAGUGGCAUAAUAUUACUCCUCCUAUACAUCAAGUAACAAGUUAUCGUACGUCAAGUCUGGGACGACAAAUGAAAUACCGGAAGAUGAUGAUAUAAUUUUAAGGUUUAGUGAAUGGGGAGAUAUUGGCAUAUAGGAUUUUUGGCAAGAGACUGUGUGAUUUUAUAUUGUAGGCCAGAUACAGGAGGCAUUUCAAUAUAUAGUACCUAAUAAUUGGUGGAUUAGGAGAAAUCCUGUUCAUCAUAUCGUGGUUGAAGAAGUUAAGAACCAUGAUUGCAAACCACCGGGAAAUUUUACAAUAACUGAAACAAAAGAAAUUCAUGGCGAUAAUAAUAAUCCCACAUAGCGAAAUUACAUUUUAAAAACAUUUUGAAAAUAUUUUUUAGAAAACGAAUAACAUUUUCAUAUAAUUUUCUAAUCAUCAUUCUAGGUUUUAAAAAUAUCCUAAAAACAUUUAUUGUCGCAAAAAAAAAUAAUCAUCGAAAUGUUUUUUAAUCAUUUUAAAAAUAUUUCAUGUUAUGUUUUGAAAACAUUUAAAAUGGUAUGUAUCUAAAAUAUUUUUUUUUAAAUAUUUGCAAUAUAUUCUUAUUAGUCCGUUUAAAC
Metopolophium dirhodum (rose-grain aphid) is the source of this 631-nucleotide long non-coding RNA. RefSeq lists it as uncharacterized. The transcript has 3 exons. The record is from RefSeq and is a predicted model, not a curated record. Lineage: Eukaryota; Metazoa; Arthropoda; Insecta; Hemiptera; Aphididae.